AUUGAACGCUGGCGGCAGGCCUAACACAUGCAAGUCGAACGGCAGCACAGAAGAGCUUGCUCUUUGGGUGGCGAGUGGCGGACGGGUGAGUAAUGUCUGGGAAACUGCCCGAUGGAGGGGGAUAACUACUGGAAACGGUAGCUAAUACCGCAUAACGUCGCGAGACCAAAGUGGGGGACCUUCGGGCCUCACACCAUCGGAUGUGCCCAGAUGGGAUUAGCUAGUAGGUGGGGUAAUGGCUCACCUAGGCGACGAUCCCUAGCUGGUCUGAGAGGAUGACCAGCCACACUGGAACUGAGACACGGUCCAGACUCCUACGGGAGGCAGCAGUGGGGAAUAUUGCACAAUGGGCGCAAGCCUGAUGCAGCCAUGCCGCGUGUAUGAAGAAGGCCUUCGGGUUGUAAAGUACUUUCAGCGGGGAGGAAGGCGGUGAGGUUAAUAACCUCGCCGAUUGACGUUACCCGCAGAAGAAGCACCGGCUAACUCCGUGCCAGCCGCCGCUGUAA
Molecule: ribosomal RNA, 506 nt
Filed under: uncultured bacterium
Lineage: Bacteria
Description: partial 16S ribosomal RNA
Rfam family: Bacterial small subunit ribosomal RNA
Source: RNAcentral